Long non-coding RNA from Neoarius graeffei (lesser salmon catfish), 2161 nucleotides. RefSeq lists it as uncharacterized. The record is from RefSeq and is a predicted model, not a curated record. The transcript is spliced from 4 exons. NCBI's taxonomy places the organism in Eukaryota, Metazoa, Chordata, Actinopteri, Siluriformes, Ariidae.
GACAAGCAGAAAGAUUUGAAUCUGUGAGGAGUCUGACGCGCUGGAGAAGUGGGCGUGGCCCAGCCGCACCGGACAGACUCCACUCCAUGAAUGAGUCAAGUCUACGACGAGCUGAGCUGAGCUGUGGGGGAAAGAAACAAAUUCAAACUAAAAAAGAAAGAGGAAGAGGUUGUUAGGUUAUUUAUUCGCUGCCUGCAAAGCGCAGGAGCAGUUUGUAAAGCUCAUACUUGUUAGUCCAGAAGUGCUCAGGUCCCAGUCCGAGGCUCAGUACUCCACUCGUCUUCAAAUGUCCAGUUUGGACUGCCUCAGAUUCCUGUUCAUGGCUUGGAGAAGAACCUUAUGUGGUCUACUGCUUUUGUAGCCAAUUUGCCUCAAGCACUAUUCUGUAGAAGCUCUAGAGAAAAUCCCAGAAGAUCAGCAAUUUCCGAAACAGUCAAACCAAACCUGGCACUAACAACUACGCCACAGUCAAGGUCACGAGAGAAAGCCACAGCUGCCUGACAAAUCUGAGGACCAGGUCAUCCCAGGUAUCCAUGUUUUGGAUCCCUAUACUGCAUCUAUUUUGUGAUGUCUAUGUAUAUCUAGCUAUCUAUAUCUAACUGUAUACAUGGAAGUGUAUAUUUGAGCAACAGAUAAUCAAGAUGGCAAAUACAAUGAGUGGAUGUGAAACACUGGUAAACCUGAUAACUGAAGCUGAGUAAUGUAAGGAACUAAUUGGUUGCAAUAAAUAUUACCCUGAAAAGAAAAAAAAAAACAUGAUCGGCGUGACAUUUGUCUCCUUCUGUGGUCGAUGCCGGGACCCGAAAGUGUUUGUUUUAACGGUGUGUUUACAUUUGAUGUGUCCUCCUACUUGUCUAUCAGUUGAGAGCAGAGUGGUUGAGCUGUGGUUUAGAAGAACACUAUGCAUUCCCAGACUAUAUGAGGACGCGUGUAAUGUUUUCAAAUGUCACUCACUCUCUCUCUCUCACGCAUACACAUCUACACCCACAUUAUCAGACACAUGCUUAGCUGGAAGCAACAGGUUUUUAAAGAUAUUGAUAGGAAUAUAUUUUGCACAGAAAAUAAUUAAAAUAUUAGCAGUCACAGAUCAUGUCCAAAAAAUUAUGUCCAGUACUGUACAAAAGUCUUAGGCACCCUUUUUUUUCCCCAUACAAACUUUGUUAUAGAUUUCUAUUUUAUGACUUCUACAUUAUGGAGUCAGUACAAAAACAUUUUAGAGUCCAAAUGUUCGUUUUCCAACACAAAAUUAAAUGUUACGGGGAAAAAAAAAGUUUGUCUGAGCAGCAUAUUACAUAAGAGAGCACUUUUCAGAUUAAAAAAGAAAACGUAAUAAAGGCUCCUGGGUUUUGGUGCAAAAUGAAGACGCAAGUGUGACAGUGUCCAAAAGAACUGUGGCUAGUUCUGUAAGAUGCUCAGUAAAACCUACAGCUCAUUUCCUUAUCAAACUGCAUUCACUGUACCUGAGACUACUAUUUUUUAUUCUAUUUUUAAAUAGAGGGUCAUCUUACACCAAAUAUUGACUUUGUUUCAUUUAUUAUGGCUUACUGCUGUUUAUAGUAUUUUUUUUUUUAAUAAUGAUGAAACAUUUCAUUAAAUUUUUUUUAAACCAUUUUUGGUCUGCAGCAUUUCUUUACAUGGGCUUAAGAUUUUUGCAGAGGUGUGUGUGUGUGUGUGUGUGUGUGUGUGUGUGUGUGUGUGUGUGUGUGUGUGUGUGUGUGUGUAAAUUAAUUUAGUUAAGAACUGUAAAAGUCUUAGAUUCUUGUAAAAAAAAUGUAGAAAGGUGCUUUUGUAAAGAUAUUUCUCAAUACUUAAAGGAUACUAUAUUUGCUAGGAAGGGCAGUAAACAGUAAGAUAAGCCUUUAUUGUCUCCAAAAUGGAGAAAUUCAUCUUGGGCAAAUGAGAGUCUGACAUGAAUACACAUAAAAUCAAAAAACACAUUUACACACUAUAAAAAAACAAAAAAACACUCACCCAUACAUAGACAUACAAUCAAAAACACAUUUACACACUACAAAAAAAAAAAAGGGACACACACACACACACACACACACACACACACCAGUUCUUCCAAUACAUUCACCCCCAACACACUAGUUCUUCCAAUACAUUCACCCCCCAACACACCAGUUCUUCCAAUACAUUCACCCCCCCCCCCCCCCCC